Sorghum bicolor (sorghum) is the source of this 874-nucleotide long non-coding RNA. RefSeq lists it as uncharacterized. Lineage: Eukaryota; Viridiplantae; Streptophyta; Magnoliopsida; Poales; Poaceae. The transcript is spliced from 2 exons. The record is from RefSeq and is a predicted model, not a curated record.
AGUCAUACUGUUGAACCAAGGGACAUGACUUCACUCUUUUUUAAAUUGAUUUUGAUCUGAUGCAUGCUUAGUUUAGAUUACUUUAGAAGGUUCAGCAAGCUUUAGCAUGCUAGGAAUAAUUCAGUGAUAGUUGAAGUUUCAAUCAUGAUUGUUUAUGUAUCUAAUAAUAUAACUUAGUCAUAUCUAAGGAAAUCUUGCCACAAAAACUGUAGCUUGGCUGCACGAAUCUCUCUGCAGCUUAUUAUUUGCAGUUUAUUUUUAGAGAGUAAGAACGUUUUGCUGAAAAUAGAGUGCAGUCAUUGAUACCUCAUAUCUGCUACAAGCCUUUAAGUUUAAGAGAAACAUGGUAUUCACUAUACUGAUUUUUUUUUCUUUCUGAUUGUAUUGGUAGGAAGGUCCGCCCCACGCCUGGCUCCACGUCCUGCUCCAGUGAGGAACCGACCAUAGCCAGAUGGCUCGGUGGAAGCAAUGCUUUAAUUUAGAUGAAUAAAGUCUGGACACUUUUGUAGCGUUUGUUGGACAUUUCGGCUUUUAUGUUGCCACACAAAGACCUCAAAUGGACUCUACUGAGUAUUUCUAGCAUCUAUAGUUGUGCAUAGACUUGAUUUCAUAUUCUAAAAUGGCUAUGUAUUUGUAUGGAGAAAGACUUAUUCCUUGCAAAGGGUUUGGUGGAAGCAACAUGAUUUCAGACAAGUGAAGUGUGGUCACUUCUAGUAGUGAAGAGACUCAUAUUUUGUUCUUUUUUUACUGUUUAGAAUCUGUGGAUGGAGACAAAUUUGUGAUGUAUGUAUUAGGUUGUUUAGAUAUUGUUAUUACUUAUUAGAUGGCACCUGAAUCAAACUUUUGCAUGAAUAUGACUCUUAUUUCUGAUGCA